GCAACAAAAUUUAUUUGAAAAAGAGAUUACUAAAUGCUGUGGCUGAGCUUGAGGAUUUGAAGCCAAUAGUUCAACAGAAACUUGAGGCGCUAAACAGAAAAAGCACAUAUCAAGUGAAUAAGGGGAACAAUCAUCAUCGGAAUAAUCUUUUAGGAUUCUCAGGGGAAUAUUCUCCUGCCAAUAAUCAAAGCUUUAGGGCUUGGGGGACAA
RNAcentral lists this unclassified non-coding RNA (210 nucleotides) under Hevea brasiliensis (rubber tree). Lineage: Eukaryota; Viridiplantae; Streptophyta; Magnoliopsida; Malpighiales; Euphorbiaceae. The record is from RNAcentral.